UACGGAGGAUGCGAGCGUUAUCCGGAUUUAUUAGGUUUAAAGGGUGUGUAGGCGGAAGAUUAAGUCAGUGGUGAAAUCUCACAGCUCAACUGUGAAACUGCCAUAGAUACUGGUUUUCUUGAGUACAGUUGAAGUAGGCGGAAUGUGUAAUGUAGCGGUGAAAUGCUUAGAUAUUACACAGAACACCGAUUGCGAAGGCAGCUUGCUAAGCUGUUACUGACGCGGAUGAACGAAAGCGUGGGGAGCGAACAGG
This 253-nucleotide ribosomal RNA is filed under the name uncultured bacterium. Its description in RNAcentral is "partial 16S ribosomal RNA". It matches the Rfam family "Bacterial small subunit ribosomal RNA", at positions 524 to 776 of the family's 1533-position model. The record is from RNAcentral.